UACGAAGGGGGCGAGCGUUGUUCGGAAUUACUGGGCGUAAAGGGCGCGUAGGCGGCGACCCAAGUCAGAUGUGAAAGUCCUGGGCUUAACCUGGGGACUGCAUUUGAUACUGGGUUGCUUGAAUUCGGGAGAGGAUAGCGGAAUUCCCAGUGUAGAGGUGAAAUUCGUAGAUAUUCGCAAGAACACCAGUGGCGAAGGCGGCUCACUGGCCCGGUACUGACGCUGAGGUGCGAAAGCGUGGGGAGCAAACAGG
RNAcentral lists this ribosomal RNA (253 nucleotides) under uncultured bacterium. RNAcentral's name for it is "partial 16S ribosomal RNA". It matches the Rfam family "Bacterial small subunit ribosomal RNA", at positions 524 to 776 of the family's 1533-position model. The record is from RNAcentral.